This 637-nucleotide ribosomal RNA is filed under the name uncultured bacterium. RNAcentral describes it as "bacterial SSU rRNA". It matches the Rfam family "Bacterial small subunit ribosomal RNA", at positions 607 to 1244 of the family's 1533-position model. The record is from RNAcentral.
GCUUAACCGAAGAAGUGCAUCGGAAACUGGGAGACUCGAGUGCAGAAGAGGACAGUGGAACUCCAUGUGUAGCGGUGGAAUGCGUAGAUAUAUGGAAGAACACCAGUGGCGAAGGCGGCUGUCUAGUCUGUAACUGACGCUGAGGCUCGAAAGCAUGGGUAGCGAACAGGAUUAGAUACCCUGGUAGUCCAUGCCGUAAACGAUGAGUGCUAAGUGUUGGAGGGUUUCCGCCCUUCAGUGCUGCAGCUAACGCAUUAAGCACUCCGCCUGGGGAGUACGACCGCAAGGUUGAAACUCAAAGGAAUUGACGGGGGCCCGCACAAGCGGUGGAGCAUGUGGUUUAAUUCGAAGCUACGCGAAGAACCUUACCAGGUCUUGACAUCUUCUGCCAAUCUAAGAGAUUAGACGUUCCCUUCGGGGACAGAAUGACAGGUGGUGCAUGGUUGUCGUCAGCUCGUGUCGUGAGAUGUUGGGUUAAGUCCCGCAACGAGCGCAACCCUUAUUAUCAGUUGCCAGCAUUCAGUUGGGCACUCUGGUGAGACUGCCGGUGACAAACCGGAGGAAGGUGGGGAUGACGUCAAAUCAUCAUGCCCCUUAUGACCUGGGCUACACACGUGCUACAAUGGACGGUACAACG